This 473-nucleotide ribosomal RNA is filed under the name Escherichia coli. RNAcentral describes it as "partial 23S ribosomal RNA". It matches the Rfam family "Bacterial large subunit ribosomal RNA", at positions 336 to 815 of the family's 2925-position model. Lineage: Bacteria; Pseudomonadati; Pseudomonadota; Gammaproteobacteria; Enterobacterales; Enterobacteriaceae. The record is from RNAcentral.
AAGGGUCUGGAAAGGAGCGCGAUACAGGUUGGCAGCCCCGUACACAAGAAUGCAAAUAUUGUGAGCUCGAUGAGUAGGGCGGGACACGUGGUAUCCUGUCUGAAUAUGGGGGGACCAUCCUCCAAGGCUAAAGACUCCUGACUGACCGAUAGUGAACCAGUACCGUGAGGGAAAGGCGAAAAGAACCCCGGCGAGGGGAGUGAAAAAGAACCUGAAACCGUGUACGUACAAGCAGGGGGAGCCUCUUAAUGGGGUGACUGCGUGCCUUUUGUAUAAUGGGUCAGCGAGUUAUAUUCUGUAGCAAGGUUAACCGAAUAGGAGAGCCGAAGGGAAACCGAGUCUUAACUGGGCGUUAAGUUGCGGGGUAUAGGCCCGAGACCCGGUGAUCUAGCCAUGGGCAAGUUGAAAGUUGGGUAACACUAACAGGAGGACCGAACCGGCUAAUGUUGAAAAAUUAACGGAUGGCUUGUGGC